This 105-nucleotide microRNA precursor is filed under the name Oikopleura dioica. RNAcentral describes it as "microRNA odi-mir-1468 precursor". Lineage: Eukaryota; Metazoa; Chordata; Appendicularia; Copelata; Oikopleuridae. The record is from miRBase by way of RNAcentral.
GAAGAUGAGUAAAAUUAAGGCGAGAUGAGGUCUUUGGACAGUUAAUUAAUGACCGAUGACCUACCGCCUCAAUUUAACUUGCUCUAAAUUCGACAGAGAGAUUUU